Molecule: ribosomal RNA, 254 nt
Filed under: uncultured bacterium
Lineage: Bacteria
Description: partial 16S ribosomal RNA
Rfam family: Bacterial small subunit ribosomal RNA
Source: RNAcentral
UACGUAGGGUGCAAGCGUUGUCCGGAAUUAUUGGGCGUAAAGAGCUCGUAGGCGGCUCAGUAAGUCAGGUGUGAAAACUCCAGGCUCAACCUGGAGGCGCCACCUGAUACUGCUGUGGCUAGAGUCCGGUAGGGGAGCAUGGAAUUCCUGGUGUAGCGGUGAAAUGCGCAGAUAUCAGGAGGAACACCAGUGGCGAAGGCGGUGCUCUGGGCCGGAACUGACGCUGAGGAGCGAAAGCGUGGGGAGCAAACAGG